GUAGGGGGCAAGCGUUGUCCGGAAUUAUUGGGCGUAAAGCGCGCGCAGGCGGUUCGUUAAGUCUGGUGUUUAAACCAUGGGCUCAACUUAUGGUCGCACUGGAAACUGGGGAACUUGAGUGCAGAAGGGGAAAGUGGAAUUCCACGUGUAGCGGUGAAAUGCGUAGAGAUGUGGAGGAACACCAGUGGCGAAGGCGACUUUCUGGGCUGUAACUGACGCUGAGGCGCGAAAGCGUGGGGAGCAAACAGGAUUAGAUACCCUGGUAGUCCACGCCGUAAACGAUGAGUGCUAGGUGUUAGGGGUUUCGAUACCCUUGGUGCCGAAGUUAACACAGUAAGCACUCCGCCUGGGGAGUACGGUCGCAAGACUG
Molecule: ribosomal RNA, 370 nt
Filed under: uncultured bacterium
Lineage: Bacteria
Description: bacterial SSU rRNA
Rfam family: Bacterial small subunit ribosomal RNA
Source: RNAcentral